Molecule: ribosomal RNA, 253 nt
Filed under: uncultured bacterium
Lineage: Bacteria
Description: partial 16S ribosomal RNA
Rfam family: Bacterial small subunit ribosomal RNA
Source: RNAcentral
UACGUAGGGUGCGAGCGUUAAUCGGAAUUACUGGGCGUAAAGCGUGCGCAGGCGGUUCGCUAAGACAGAUGUGAAAUCCCCGGGCUUAACCUGGGAACUGCGUUUGUAACUGGCGGGCUGGAGUGUGGCAGAGGGAGGUGGAAUUCCACGUGUAGCAGUGAAAUGCGUAGAGAUGUGGAGGAACACCGAUGGCGAAGGCAGCCUCCUGGGCCAGCACUGACGCUCAUGCACGAAAGCGUGGGGAGCAAACAGG